AGGGAAUAGAUACCCUGGUAGUCCUGGCAGUAAACGGUGCACGUUUGGUGUGGGCGCAAUCGACCGCGUCCGCGCCGGAGCUAAACGCGUUAAACGUGCCGCCUGGGAAGUACGGUCGCAAGAUUAAAACUCAAAGAAAUUGACGGGGACCCGCACAAGCGGUGGAGUAUGUGGCUUAAUUCGAUGCAACGCGAAGAACCUUACCUGGUCUUGACAUGCAUUGUGUCUCCGGUGAAAGCCGGAUAGGGUAGCAAUACCCGCUUUGCACAGGUGCUGCAUGGCUGUCGUCAGCUCGUGUCGUGAGAUGUUGGGUUAAGUCCCGCAACGAGCGCAACCCCGUGUGAUUUGUUGCCACCGGCUUAUGCCGAGCACUCGAAUCAGACUGCCUCGAUCAACGAGGAGGAAGGUGGGGAUGACGUCAAGUCCGUAUGGCCCUUACGACCAGGGCUGCACACGUACUACAAUGCCCAGUACAAUGUGAACCGAGACCGCGAGGUGGAGGAAAUCAAUAAAACCUGGGCUCAGUUCAGA
Molecule: ribosomal RNA, 531 nt
Filed under: uncultured bacterium
Lineage: Bacteria
Description: bacterial SSU rRNA
Rfam family: Bacterial small subunit ribosomal RNA
Source: RNAcentral